Molecule: ribosomal RNA, 496 nt
Filed under: uncultured bacterium
Lineage: Bacteria
Description: partial 16S ribosomal RNA
Rfam family: Bacterial small subunit ribosomal RNA
Source: RNAcentral
GAUGAACGCUGGCGGCGUGCCUAAUACAUGCAAGUCGAGCGAACGGACGAGAAUCUUGCUUCUCUGAUGUUAGCGGCGGACGGGUGAGUAACACGUGGAUAACCUACCUAUAAGACUGGGAUAACUUCGGGAAACCGUAGCUAAUACCGGAUAAUAUUUUGAACCGCAUGGUUCAAAAGUGAAAGACGGUCUUGCUGUCACUUAUAGAUGGAUCCGCGCUGCAUUAGCUAGUUGGUAAGGUAACGGCUUACCAAGGCAACGAUGCAUAGCCGACCUGAGAGGGUGAUCGGCCACACUGGAACUGAGACACGGUCCAGACUCCUACGGGAGGCAGCAGUAGGGAAUCUUCCGCAGUGGGCGAAAGCCUGACGGAGCAACGCCGCGUGAGUGAUGAAGGUCUUCGGAUCGUAAAACUCUGUUAUUAGGGAAGAACAUAUGUGUAAGUAACUGUGCACAUCUUGACGGUACCUAAUCAGAAAGCCACGGCUAACUACGU